Drosophila miranda is the source of this 596-nucleotide long non-coding RNA. RefSeq lists it as uncharacterized. The record is from RefSeq and is a predicted model, not a curated record. Lineage: Eukaryota; Metazoa; Arthropoda; Insecta; Diptera; Drosophilidae. The transcript is spliced from 2 exons.
AACUAGCUUUAAUAUAAAUACAUUCCUAAUUCAGACCCUUAUUGAACUUCACUAAACUAUACAGAAAACAAAACUAAACGAACAACGUAAACCUAUUAUACUUAUUUUCGAUGGCAGUGAUUUUACAAGAUGCAUCUGAAAAUAUCGAGCCACAGACUGAUGUGGCUUCCAGUGCCUCUGUCCCCAUGAUGACCAUGAUGUCACCAGCUGCAGAGGAAAACAUUGUGGCGGAAAUUGUGCCACCGCUUCGGCUGCCGCUUCCACUUCGGCGCAGCGAACGCAUCAAGUCUGCCCAAAAAAAGAAGCAGCGCAAACUGAAGACGCAUCCUAUGAUUCUUCGAAGCCAUUUGGCUCGUCAAAAUAAAGUCAAAAACAUCGCUGCUCGUAAGAUUCGCAAGAGCGGUGUAAAGAAGACACAGAUCACCAAGAAGAAAACAACACACCACAUUAACGUUCAGAUCAGGGGGAAACUUUUCAAGCUCUAACCAAAUCCCCAAAAAAAUCCACUUGUUCCACAAAAAAUAUGGUAUACAAACACAGUUUAGGCUAAAAUAAACUUUUCUAUUUGUAAUUGAAUAAAUUCCAGUAAAGUUCCA